GAUGAACGCUGGCGGCGUGCCUAAUACAUGCAAGUCGAGCGAACAGACGAGGAGCUUGCUCCUCUGACGUUAGCGGCGGACGGGUGAGUAACACGUGGAUAACCUACCUAUAAGACUGGGAUAACUUCGGGAAACCGGAGCUAAUACCGGAUAAUAUAUUGAACCGCAUGGUUCAAUAGUGAAAGACGGUUUUGCUGUCACUUAUAGAUGGAUCCGCGCCGCAUUAGCUAGUUGGUAAGGUAACGGCUUACCAAGGCAACGAUGCGUAGCCGACCUGGAAGGGUGAUCGGCCACACUGGAACUGAGACACGGUCCAGACUCCUACGGGAGGCAGCAGUAGGGAAUCUUCCGCAAUGGGCGAAAGCUUGACGCAGCAACGCCGCGUGAGUGAUGAAGGUCUUCGGAUCGUAAAACUCUGUUAUUAGGGAAGAACAAAUGUGUAAGUAACUAUGCACGUCUUGACGGUACCUAAUCAGAAAGCCACGGCUAACUACGUA
RNAcentral lists this ribosomal RNA (497 nucleotides) under uncultured bacterium. RNAcentral's name for it is "partial 16S ribosomal RNA". It matches the Rfam family "Bacterial small subunit ribosomal RNA", at positions 28 to 507 of the family's 1533-position model. The record is from RNAcentral.